This 57-nucleotide transfer RNA is filed under the name Gammarus pulex. RNAcentral's name for it is "tRNA-Ile". Lineage: Eukaryota; Metazoa; Arthropoda; Malacostraca; Amphipoda; Gammaridae. The record is from RNAcentral.
AGUAAGGUACCUUUAAGGGUUGCCUUGAUGCGGUAAACAUGUUUAUAACCUUUACUA